ACCUGCUGGUGGCAUCGCCCUGAGAGCGGCGCAGCUCCUCUGGCGCUCAGCUGUGUCCUUGUGGUGCCUACAGUAUGUUCCAAAUAUAUAUAUACAAACAAAUAGGCAUUUAGGCUCCAGCGCUAUUUGCCUCUUUCUUAGGAGCAGUCAACUGCAAGUCGCAGACAUCCCACCACCCAAGCUAGACUGCCCAAGAAAUGGAUUUGUUUUUGUGAAGAUGUUUCUGUUUCUUUGUCUGCUAAAGCCAUACGUAUUUCACAACGGAAAAAUAAAUGUUCUUGGUGACGGUU
Long non-coding RNA from Gallus gallus (chicken), 290 nucleotides. RefSeq lists it as uncharacterized. The transcript has 2 exons. Lineage: Eukaryota; Metazoa; Chordata; Aves; Galliformes; Phasianidae. The record is from RefSeq and is a predicted model, not a curated record.